Molecule: long non-coding RNA, 137 nt
Organism: Corapipo altera (White-ruffed manakin)
Lineage: Eukaryota; Metazoa; Chordata; Aves; Passeriformes; Pipridae
Exons: 3
Source: RefSeq, a predicted model, not a curated record
UCUACAGUACGACGAUCAGACACCUGGACCAGAGAGCACAGCACUGAGUGGGUGUAUCAUGUCUCCUACCAUGCACCAGCUGCUGGAAAAGUUGAACGGUGCAACGGACUGCUGAAAACCACCUUGAAGGCACUGGG